CAGUAGCCACGGUAAUACAGAGGGUGCAAGCGUUAAUCGGAAUUACUGGGCGUAAAGCGCGCGUAGGUGGUUUGUUAAGUUGGAUGUGAAAUCCCCGGGCUCAACCUGGGAACUGCAUUCAAAACUGACUGACUAGAGUAUGGUAGAGGGUGGUGGAAUUUCCUGUGUAGCGGUGAAAUGCGUAGAUAUAGGAAGGAACACCAGUGGCGAAGGCGACCACCUGGACUAAUACUGACACUGAGGUGCGAAAGCGUGGGGAGCAAACAGGAUUAGAUACCCGAGUAGUCCCUGUCUCUUAUAC
This 301-nucleotide ribosomal RNA is filed under the name uncultured bacterium. RNAcentral describes it as "partial 16S ribosomal RNA". It matches the Rfam family "Bacterial small subunit ribosomal RNA", at positions 509 to 807 of the family's 1533-position model. The record is from RNAcentral.